GCCCGACUAACUCAGUCGGUAGAGCAUGAGACUCUUAAUCUCAGGGUUGUGGGUUUGAGACCCACAUUGGGCA
This 73-nucleotide transfer RNA is filed under the name Erinaceus europaeus (western European hedgehog). It matches the Rfam family "tRNA". From Rfam's summary of the family: Transfer RNA (tRNA) molecules are approximately 80 nucleotides in length. The record is from Rfam by way of RNAcentral. Lineage: Eukaryota; Metazoa; Chordata; Mammalia; Eulipotyphla; Erinaceidae.